The sequence is a transfer RNA, 91 nucleotides long. It matches the Rfam family "tRNA". From Rfam's summary of the family: Transfer RNA (tRNA) molecules are approximately 80 nucleotides in length. Their secondary structure includes four short double-helical elements and three loops (D, anti-codon, and T loops). Further hydrogen bonds mediate the characteristic L-shaped molecular structure. tRNAs have two regions of fundamental functional importance: the anti-codon, which is responsible for specific mRNA codon recognition, and the 3' end, to which the tRNAs corresponding amino acid is attached (by aminoacyl-tRNA synthetases). tRNAs cope with the degeneracy of the genetic code in two manners: having more than one tRNA (with a specific anti-codon) for a particular amino acid; and 'wobble' base-pairing, i.e. permitting non-standard base-pairing at the 3rd anti-codon position. The record is from Rfam.
GCUGCUGUAGCUCAGUGGUUAGAGCGUGGGAUUGCAGUUCGUCUCCAUGCGACUUAUCCUAAGGUCAUUAGUUCGACUCUGAUUAGCAGCU